This 91-nucleotide transfer RNA is filed under the name Arsenicicoccus bolidensis. RNAcentral's name for it is "tRNA-Ser". It matches the Rfam family "tRNA". From Rfam's summary of the family: Transfer RNA (tRNA) molecules are approximately 80 nucleotides in length. RNAcentral also lists the same sequence under 1 other name. Lineage: Bacteria; Bacillati; Actinomycetota; Actinomycetes; Micrococcales; Intrasporangiaceae. The record is from RNAcentral.
GGAGGUGUCGCAUAGUGGCCUAGUGCGCCCGCCUGCUAAGCGGGUUGAGGUUGAAAACCUCUCGCGGGUUCAAAUCCCGCCACCUCCGCCA